UUGAACCAUCGACUCACACAUUGGCCCAUUGAGUGAGUGAACAAAGCACCCACGUCGAACCGCCCGGCUACCGACUGAUGAAGAAGAAGAUUGUUGAAGAAGUUGAAAUUGGAAGUAAUUAAAAAAUCUUUAGACAAGUGAACGAAAACUCGGAAGAUCACGUAAAAUAUUACAUUAUGAUGUUGUAUAGUGACCGUGUUGCGGUUUUGUGAACUGUUCAAUGAAAAUCAAAGUGUUUCACUAUACAAUAGCUUCAUCGGGAAGCUAUUGUAUAGUGACGUGUUGCGGUUUUAUAAACUGUUAAGUGAAAACCUCCCAAAGUGUUACUCGAAUAUAUUUUCUUAGUAACUCUACUCAAAAUGAAAAUACUUGAAAUUUAUUUUCUUGCAGGACAAUAGCUGGGUGCGGUUGAAUUUUUUGUUUUAAGACAAUUGUCCAUAAGAUCAAAUGCACUGUUAGAAACAUCUAUAUGAAGAUGAAUUUCAAAAUUUGCUUUCGAUUUUUUUCUCCAAACACAUUGGCAUGCAACAGAAACUUCUUUUUGAAGGACUCUGUAAAAGUGACAAAAGAAGAGUAACUUUUUAAUUUCAACUGUGGCAUAAACUUGUCAGUUCUAUCACUCUGAAACUGGAAUGUGAUGCUUCCAUAUUUUUCAACCAAUCCUAAAGCAGAUAUUUCAAUCUAAAACUACAAACAGAUGAGGACUACGGACUACUAGGACUACGGUCGAUUUCAACUCCAAAGACAGCAAUAGAUUUCAGUUCUUGAUUUUCAUAUCCAAGACAGCAAUGAAUUUAGGCCCCAAAGGAAGCGAUAGAUCCAAACUUUAAAGGCAGGGAUGGAUUCAAAACUACAAAGAUGGCGAUGGAUUUCAGUCCAAAGGGCAUUUUAGGAUUUCAACCCCAAAGGCAGCGAUGCAUUUAAACCCCAAAGAAGGAGGUCAAUUUCAUUUUGAAAGACAGUGGGGGUUUCAGUUUCGGUUUUCAGGGUCCAAAACAGCGAUGUAAUCGAGCCUCAAAGUGACCAUUAGAUUCAAAGCUCCAAAGGCAGCAAGGGAUUCAAAUCCCAAAGGCAUUUUGGGAUUUCAACCCCAAAGACAGCGAUGGAUUCAAACUACAAGGAGAGAGGCUUAAGGAUUUCAACCCCAAAGGCGGAUUUGAAGUUCAACCCCAAAGGCAUUGAUGAAUUUCAACACCAAAGACAGUGAUGGAUUUCAACACCAGAGAUAUUUUAGAAUUUCUACACCACAGGCAGCGAGCGAUGCAUAUAAACCCAUGCACAGGUCAAUUUGAUUGCGGAAGACGGCGGAGACAUCAGUUUCAGAUUCGCAGGCUACAAGAGAUUGAAUUUGACCCCAGAAAGAAGCGUGAGAUUCAAUUACAUAAGUAGGUUUUCAGGAUAAAAUAUUUCAACUUCAAAGACUGUGAUGGAUUCAAACCCCCAAGGCAUGGAUGGGUUUCAACACCAAAGAGCGAUGGACUUCGACACCGAAGACAUUGAUAGAUUUCAAUACCAAAGAGCAAUGGAUUUGAACCCCAAUGGCAGCGAUGGAUUUCGACCCUGAAGGCAGCGAUGGAUUUCGACUCUGAAGGCAGCGAUGGAAUUCAACCUCGAAGGUGGCGAUGAAUUUCGAACCCAAAGGCAGCGAUGAAUUUGAACCCCAAAGGCGGCGAUAUGUUCAAACCCCAAUAGCAUGGAUGGAUUUCCAUACCAAAGAGCAGAGGAUUUCAAUUCCACCGCCAGCGAUGAAUUUCAAUCUCUAAAGCAGCGAUGGCUUUCGACCACAAAAGCAUCGAUGAAUUUUGACCCUGAAGGCAUGGAUAGAUUUCAACAUCAAAGAGCAAUGGAUUUCGACCCCAAUGGCAGCGAUGGAUUUCGACCCCGAAGGCGGCCAUGAAUUUCGACCCCGAAGGCAGCGAUGGAUUUCGACCCCGAAGCGGCGAUGGAUUUCGACCCCGAAGGCGGCGGUGGAUUUCAACUCCAUAGGCGGCGAUAUCUUCAAACCCCAAAGGCAUGGAUAGAUUUCAACACCAAAGAGCAAUGAAUUUCAACCCCAAUGGCAGCGAUGGAUUUCGACCCUGAAGGCAGCGAUGGAUUUCGACCCUGAAGGCAGCGAUGGAUUUUACCCCGAACGCAGCGAUGGAUUUCGACCCUGAAGGCGGCGAUGGAUUUAGACCCCCAAUAGCAGCGAUGGAUUUCAACUCCAUAGGCGGCGAUAUAUUCAAACCCCAAAGGCAUGGAUAGAUUUCAACACCAAAGCGCAAUGUAUUUCAACCCCAAUGGCAGUGAUGGAUUUCGACACUGAAGGCAUUGAUAGAUUUCAAUAACAAAGAGCAAUAGAUUUCAACCCCAAAGGCAGCGAUGGAUUUCGACCCUGAAGGCAGCGAUGGAUUUCGACCUUGAAGGCAGCGAUGGAAUUCAACCCCAAAGGUGGCGAUGAAUUUCGAACCCAAAGGCAGCGAUGAAUUUGAACCACAAAGGCGGCGAUAUAUUCAAACCCCAAUAGCAUGGAUUGAGUUCAACACCAAAGAGCAAUGGGUUUCAACCCGAAUGGCAGCGAUGGAUUUCCAUCCCGAAGGCAUGGAUAGAUUUCAACACCAAAGAGCAACGGAUUUCAACCCUAAUGGCAGCGAUGGAUUUCGACCCUGAAGGCAGCGAUGGAUUUUGACCCCUAAGGCAGCGUUGGAUUUCGACCCCGAAGGCGGCGAUGGAUUUAGACCCCCAAUAGCAGCGAUGGAUUUCAACUCCAGAGGCGGCGAUAUAUUCAAACUCCAAAGUCAUGGAUAGAUUUCAACACCAAAGAGCAAUGGAUUUCAACCCCAAUGGCAGCGAUGAAUUUCGACCCUGAAGGCAGCGAUGGAUUUUACCCCGAAAGCAGCGAUGGAUUUCGACCCCAUAAACUGCGAUGGAUUUCAACCCCAUAAACUGCGUUGGAUUUCAACCCCAUAAAUUGCGAUGGAUUUCGACUCCAAAAGCAGCGGUGGAUUUCGACUCCGAAGGCAGAGAUGAAUUUCAAUCCCAAGGGCAUUUUAGGAAUUCAACCCCAAAGGCAGUGAUGGAUUUAAAUUCCGAAGAGAGAGGUCAAUUUAUUUUGAAAGACACGGGUUCUCAGAUCCGUUUUUCAGGGUCCAAGACAGCAAUGAAAUUGAGCCCCAAAGGCACCAAUAGAUCCAAAACUCCAAAGGCAGCGAUGGAUUUCAAUCCAAAAGGCAUUUUAGGAUUUGAACCUCAAAGCAGCGAUGGAUUCAAACGCCUAGGAGAUUCAUUUCCAAGAGUGGGUUUUCUGGCUCCAGGAUUUCAACCCCAAAGGCAGAAUAUAAUUUCAACUCCAAAGACAUUUAAGGAUUUCUACACUACAGGCAGCAAUGCAUAUAAAACUCAAGGACAGAGGUCAAUUUCAUUGCGAAAGACAGUGGGGACAUCAGUUUCAGAUUCCCAGGCUACUAGACAUUGAUGAAUUUGACCCCAGAAGGAAGUAUGAGAUUCAAUUACAUAAGCAGGUUUUCAUCCUAGAGGAUUUCAACUUCGAAGGCGGCGAUGGAUUCAAACCCCCCAAAGGUAUGGAUAGAUUUCAUCCCCAAAGGCAGCGAUGAAUAUCAACCCCAAAGGCGGCGAUAUUAUAAAACCCCCAAGGCAUGGAUGGAUUUCAAUACCACAGAGCAAUGGUUUUCAACCCUAAUGGAAACAGUGGAUUUGAACCCCAAUGGCAGCGAUAGAUUUCAACCCCAAAAGCGGCGAUGAAUUUCAACCCCAAAAGCGGCGAUGAAUUUCAACCCCAAAGGCGGCGGUGGAUUUCAAUCCCAAAGGCUGCGGUGGGUUUCAACCCCAAUGGCAGCAAUGGAUUUGAACCCCAAUGGCAGCGAUAGAUUUCAACCCUAUGGCAGUGAUGGAUUUCAACCACAAAGGCGGCGAUGGAUUUCAAUCCCAAUGACAUGCAGCGAUGGUUUCAACCUCAACAGCAGCGAUGCAUUUCAACUUCAUUGAAUCUUCAAACCCUAAGGCCAGAGGUCAAUAUCAAAAGACUGCGAAGGGUUUCAGUUCCAGAUUUCUUGGUCCAAGGCAGCGAUAACUGAAACCCCCAAUACUAUCCAUGAUAAUUAUAAGAAUUUUUACAAUAAAUUUUAUUGAAAAUUGAGCUUUGCUACAUGGUAGCUCUUGUCAUUUACUGGUACCAGUAACUGAUGAAGCUAACGUGAAAAUUUUACAAUCGUUAUCAUGGAAACUAUUAUUAAUUUUCAUCAAAUGAAGGGUUGGAGUAUUCAUAAUUAUCAACCCUGAAGAAAAGAGUAGCUCGUAAAAGCAGCAGAUAAUUAUUUUUCUCUAAAGACAGUGAUAGAUGUCAACCUCAAAGAAAGCGAUGAAUUUCAACUCCAAAGGCGACAAUGGAUUCCAACCUUGAAGGCAUAGGAUUCAAACCCCAAAGGCAGAUAUUCCAACCUCAAGAAAUGGAUUUCAACCCAAAAGUCACCAAUUGAUUUCACCCCAUAUUUUCUGACACAAAGGCAGAUAUGAAGUUGAACUCCAAAGGCAUCGAUGUAUUCAAAUUAAAAAAGUAGACAGGAUUUAAGCCUCAAAGUUACCGAUGAAUAUGGGUAUUCUAGUCCAAGGACGAUAGACCUUGCCCCAAACAGUGGAUUCGAAUCUCAAAAGCAGAGAUGGGUUUCAACUCCUAAGGCAGAGAUGGAUUCCAAAACCAAGGGCAGAGAUGGAUUUCAACUUCGACAGAGAUGGGUUUCAAUUUCAACGGCAGCGAAGAAUUUCAAUCCCAAAGGCGGCGAUGGAUUUUGACACCAAAGGCAGCGAUGAAUUUGAACCCCAAAGGCAGCGAUAUAUUUUCAACACCAAAGAGCAAUGGAUUUCAACCCCAAAAACUGCGAUGGAUUUCGACUCCAUAGGCAGCGGUGGAUUUCAAUCCCAAGGGCAUUUUAGGAUUUCAAUCCCAAAGGCAGUGAUGGAUUUAAACCCCGGUCCUAGACAGCGAUUAAAUUGAGCCCCAAAGGAAGCAAUAGAUCUAAAACUCCAGAAGCAGCAAGGGAUUCAAAACUCCAAAGGCAGCGAUGUAUUUCAAUCCCAAAGGCAUUUUAGGAUUUCAACCCCAAAGCAGCAAUGGAUUCAAACCCCAGAAGAUUCAUUUUCAAGAGUGGGUUUUCAGGCUCAAGGAUUUUAAUUCCGAAGGCAUUCGAAGUUCAACCACAAAGGCAUAGAUGAAUUUCAAUACCAAAGACAGUGAUGGAUUUCAACCUCAUAUACAUUUUAUGGUUUCUUCACCACAGGCCGCAAUGCAUAUAAAACCCAUGGACAGAGAGAGGUCAAUUUCAUUGCCAAAGACAAUGGAGAUAUCAGUUUCAGAUUCUCUGGCUGCAAGACAUUGAUGAAUUUGACCCCAGAAGGAAGCGUAAGAUUCAAUUACAUAAGCAGGUUUUCAGGCUAGAAGAUUUCAACUUCAAACACGGUGAUGGAUCCAAACCCCCAAGGCAUGGAUGGAUUUCAACACCAAAGAGCAAUGGAAUUCAACCACAAUGACAGCGAUUUCGACCCUGAAGGCGGAGAUGUACUUCAACCCCAAAGCUGGCGAUGAAUCUCAACACCAGAGGCGGCGGUGGAUUUCAAUCCCAAGGACAUUUUAGGAUUUUAUUUCCAAUGGCAGUGAUAGAUUUAAACCCGGAAGAGAGAGGUCAAUUUCAUUUUGAAAGACACUGGGGAUUUCAGUUCCGGUUUUCAGGGUCCAAGACAGUCAAGAAAUUGAGCCCCAAAGGAACCAAUAGAUCCAAAACUCCAAAAGCAGCAAGGGAUUCAAAACUCCAAAGCAGCGAUGGAAUCAAACCCCAGAAGAUUCAUUUCCAAGAGUGGGUUUUCAGGCUAAAGGAUUUCAACCCCAAAGGCAUACAAAGUUCAAACACAAAGGCAUUGAUGAAUUUCAAUACCAAAGACAGUGAUAGUUUUGAUGGAUUUUGAACCUCAAAGACAUUUUAGGGUUUUUACACCACAGGUCACAAUGCAUAUAAAACCCAAAGACAGAGGUCAAUUUCUUUGCGAUAGACAGUGGAGAUAUCAGUUUUACAUUCUCUCGCUACAAGACAUUGAUGAUUUUGACCCCAGAAGGAAGCGUAAGAUUCAAUUACAUAAGCAGAUUUGCAGACUAGAAGAUUUCAACUUCAAAGGCGGCGAUGGGUCCAAACCCCCUAAGGCAUGGAUGGAUUUCAACACCAAAGAGCAAUGGAUUUCAACCCCAAUGGCAGCGAUGGAUUUCGUCCCCAAGGGCGGCAAUGGAUUUCAACCCCAAAGGCGGCGAUGGAUUUCAACCCCAAAGGCGCCAAUGGAUUUCAACACCAAAGGCAGUGAUGGAUUUAGACCACAAAGGCAGUGAUGAAUUUCAACCCCAAUGGCAGCCGAUGGAUUUCGACCCCGAAGGCGGCGAUGGAUUUCAACCCCAAAGGUGGCGAUGGAUCUCAACACCAGAGGCGGCGAUGGAUUUCAACUCCAUAGGCAGCGGUGGAUUUCAAUCCCAAGGACAUUUUAGGAUAUCAACUCCAAAGGCAGUGAUGAAUUUAAACUCCGAAGAGAGAGGUCAAUUUCGUUUUGAAAGACAGUGGGAAUUACAGUUCAGGUUUUCAGGGUCCAAGACAGUGAUGAAAUUGAGCCCGAAAGGAACCAAUAGAUCCAAAACUCCAGAAGCAGCAAUGGAUUCAAAACUCCAAAGGCAGCGAUGGAUUUCAAUCGCAAAGGCAUUUUAGGAAUUCAACCCCAAAGCAGCGAUGGAUUCAAACCCCAGAAGAUUCAUUUGCAAGAGUGGGUUUUCAGGUUCAAGGAUUUCAACCCCAAAGGCAUUCGGUAUUCAAUCACAAGACAUGGAUUUCAACCUCAAGACAUUUUAGGGUUUCUACACCACAGGCAGCAAUGCAUAUAAAACCCAAGGACAGAGGCUAGAUGAUUUCAACUUCAGAAACUGCGAUGGAUCCAAACCCCCAAGGCAUGGAUGAAUUUCAACACCAAAGCGCAAUGGAUAGCAGCGAUGAAUUUCAACCUCAAAAGCGGCGAUGGAUUUAGACCCCGAAGGCAGCGAUGAAUUUCAACUCCCAAGGCGGCGAUAUAUUCAAACCUCAAAGGCAUGGAUAGAUUUCAACACCAAAGCGCAAUGGAUUUCUACCCCAAUGGCAACCAUGGAUUUCGACACUGAAGGCAUUGAUAGAUUUCAAUACAAAAGAGCAAUGGAUUUCAACCUCAAUGGCAGCGAUGGAUUUCGACCCUGAAGGCAGCGAUGGAAUUCAACCCCAAAGGUGGCGAUGAAUUUCGAACCCACAGGCAGCGAUGAAUUUGAACCCCAAAGGCGGCGAUAUAUUCAAACCCCAAUAGCAUGGAUUGUGUUGGACACCAAAGAGCAAUGGAUUUCAACCCUAAUGGCAGCGAUGGCUUUCCAUCCCGAAGGCAUGGAUAGAUUUCAACACCAAAGAGCAACGGAUUUCAACUCCAAUGGCAGUGAUGAAUUUGGACCCUGAAGGCAGCGAUGGAUUUUGACGCCUAAGGCAGCGAUGGAUUUCGACCCCGAAGGCGGCGAUGGAUUUAGACCCCCAAUAGCAGUGAUGGAUUUCAACUCCAUAGGCGGAGAUAUGUUCAAACCCCAAAAGCAUGUAUAGAUUUCAACACCAAAGAGCAAUGGAUUUCAAACCCCAAUGGCAGCGAUGAAUUUCGACCCUGAAGGCAGCGAUGGAUUGCGACCCCGAAGGCGGCGAUGAAUCCCAAGGGCAUUUUAGGAUUUCAACCCCAAAGGCAGUGAUGGAUUUAAACUCCGAAAAGAUUGGUCAAUUUCAUUUUGAAAGACACUGGGGUUUUCAGAUCCGGUUUUCAGGGUCCAUGACGACGAUGAAAUUGAGCCCCAAAGGCACCAAUAGAUCCAAAACUCCAAAGGCAGCGAUGGAUUUCAAUCCAAAAGGCAAUUUAGGAUUUGAACCUCAAAGCAGCGAUGGAUUCAAACGCCUAGGAGAUUCAUUUCCAAGAGUGGGUUUUCAGGUUCCAGGAUUUCAACCUCAAAGGCAGAAUAGAAUUUCAACCCCAAAGACAUUUAAGCAUUUCUACACUAAAGACAGCAAUGUAUAUAAAACCCAAUGACAGAGGUGAAUUUCAUUGCGAAAGACAGUAGGGAUAUCAGUUUCAGAUUCCCAAGCUACUAGACAUUGAUGAAUUUGACCCCAGAAGGAAGUAUGAGAUUCAGUUACAUAAGCAGGUUUUCAGCCUAGAGGAUUUCAACUCCAAAGGCGGCGAUGGAUUUCAACCCCAAAGGCGGCGAUAUUAUAAAACCCCUAAGGCAUGGAUGGAUUUCAUUACCAACGAUCAAUGGAUUUCAACCCCAAUGGGAGCAAUGGAUUUCAACCCCAAUGGCGGUGAUGGAUUUUGAUCCCAAAAGCGGCGAUGAAUUUCAACCCCAAAGGCGGCGGUGGAUUUCAACCCCAAUGACAGCGAUGGAUUUCACCCCCAAUGGCAGUGAUGGAUUUCAACCAAAAAGGCGGUGAUGGAUUUUGAUCUCAAAGGCAAUGAUGGAUUUCGACUCCAAAGGCAACGAUGGAUUUCAAUCCCAAAAACUGUCAUGGAUUUCAACUCCAAAGUUCCAGAUUUUUUGGUCAAUGGCAUUGAUGGAUUUUAACGAUGGUUUUCAAUCCCAAUAACAUGCAGCGAUGGUUUCAACAUCAACAGCAGCGAUGAAUUUUAACUUCAUUGAAUCUUCAAACCCUAAGGCCACAGGUCAAUUUCAAAAGGCUGCAAAGGGUUUCAGUUCCAGAUUUCUGGGUCCGAGCAGCGAUAACUGAAACCCCAAAUACUAUCCAUGAUAAUUAUAAGAAUUUUCACAAUAAAUUUUAAUAAAAAUGAGCUUCGCUACAAGGUAGCUCUUGUCAUUUAUUGGUACAAUUAACUGAUGAAGCCAACGUGAAAAUGUUAUAAUCGUUAUCAUGGAAAGUAUUAUUAAUUUUCAUCAAAUAAAGGGUCGGAGUAUUCAUAAUUUUCAACCCUGAAGAAAAGAGUAGCUCAUAAAAGCAGCAAAUAAUUAUUUUCCUCUAAUGGCAGUGAUAGAUGUCAACCUCAAAGAUAGCGAUGAAUUUCGACUCCAAAGGCGACAAUGGAUUCCAACCUUGAAGGCAUAGGAUUCAAACCCCAAAGGCAUCGAUGUAUUGAAAUUAAAAAGUUAGACAGAUUUAAGCCUCAAAGUCACCAAUGAAUUUGGGUAUUCUAGUCCAAGGACGAUAGACCUCGCCCCAAACAGUGGAUUUGAAUCCCAAAAGCAGAGAUGGGUUUCAACUCCUAAGGCAGAGAUGGAUUCCAAAACCAAUGGCAGAGCUGGAUUUCAACUUCGACAGAGAUGGAUUUCAAUUUCGAAGGCAGCGAUGAAUUUCAAUCCCAAAGGCGGCGAUAUAUUUUCAACACCAAAGAGCAAUGGAUUUCAACCCCAAUGGCAGCGAUGGAUUUCAACCCCGAAGGCGGCGAUGGAUUUCAACCCCAAAGGUGGCGAUGGAUUUCAACCCCAAAAACUACGAUGGAUUUCGACUCCAUAGGCAACGGUGGAUUUCAAUCCCAAGGGCAUUUUAGGAUUUCAAUCCCAAAGGCAGUGAUGGAUUUCAAUCCCAAAGGCAGUGAUGGAUUUAAACCCCGAAGAUAAAGGUCAAUUUCAUUUUGAAAGACAGUGGGAAUUUCAGUUCCGGUUUUCAGGGUCCUAGACAGCGGUUAAAUUGAACCCCAAAGGAACCAAUAGAUCCAAAACUCCAAAAGCAGCAAGGGAUUCAAAACUUCAAAGGCAGCGAUGUAUUUCAAUCCCAAAGGCAUUUUAGGAUUUCAACCCCAAAGCAGCGAUGGAUUCAAACCUCAGGAGAUUCAUUUCCAAUAGUGGGUUUUCAGGCUCAAGGAUUUCAACACCAAAGGCAUUCGAAGUUCAACCACAAAGGCGUAGAUGAAUUUCAAUACCAAAGACAGUGAUGGAUUUCAACCUCAAAUACAUUUUAGGGUUUCUACACCACAGGCCGCGAUGGAUAUAAAACCCAUGGACAGAGGUCAAUUUCAUUGCCAGAGACAAUGGAGAUAUCAGUUUCAGAUUCUCUGGCUACAAGACAUUGAUAAAUUUGAUCCCAGAAGGAAGCGUAAGAUUCAAUUACAUAAGCAGGCUAGAAGAUUUCAACUUCAAAGACGGUGAUGGAUCCAAACCCCCAAGGCAUGGAUGGAUUUCAACACCAAAGAGCAAUGGAUUUCAACCACAAUGACAGCGAUGGAUUUCGACCCCAAAGGCGCCGAUGGAUUUAGACCACAAAGGCAGUGAUGAAUUUCAACUCCAAAACCGGCGAUAUAUUCAAACCCCAAAGGCAUGGAUAGAUUUCAACACCAAAGAGCAAUGGAUUUCAACCCCAAUGGCAGCGAUGGAUUUCGACCCCGAAGGCGGGAAUGUACUUCAACCCCAAAGGUGGCGAUGGAUCUCAACACCAGAGGCGGCGGUGGAUUUCAAUCCCAAAGACAUUUUAGGACUUCAUUUCCAAUGGCAGUGAUGGAUUUGUACCCCGAAGAGAGAGGUCAAUUUCAUUUUGAAAGACAAUGGGGAUUUCAUUUCCGGUUUUCAGGGUCCAAGACAGUGAAGAAAUUGAGCUCCAAAGGAACCAAUAGAUCCAAAACUCCAAAAGCAGCAAGGGAUUCAAACCCCAGAAGAUUCAUUUGCAAAAGUGGGUUUUCAGACUCAAGGAUUUCAACCCCAAAGGCAUUCGAUAUCCAAUCACAAAGGCAUAGAUGAAUUUCAACACCGAAGACAUGGAUUUCAACAUCAAAGACAUUUUAGGGUUUCUACACCACAGGCAGCAAUGCAUAUAAAACCCAAGGACAGACAUCAAUUUCAUAGCGAAAGACAGUGGAGAUAUCAGUUUCAGAUUCUCUGGCUACAAGACAUUGAUGAAUUUGACUUCAGAAGGAAGCGUAAGUUUCAAUUACAUAAGCAGGUUUUCAGGCUAGAUGAUUUCAACUUCAAAGACGGCGAUGGAUCCAAACCCCCAAGGCAUGGAUGAAUUUCAACACCAAAGCGCAAUGGAUGGCAGCGAUGAAUUUCAACCCCAAGAGCGGCGUUGGCAUUAGACCCCGAAGGUAGCGAUGAAUUUCAACUCCUAAGGCGGAGAUAUAUUCAAACCCCAAAGGUAUGGAUAGAUUUCAACACCAAAGAGCAAUGGAUUUUUACUCCAAUGGCAGCGAUGGAUUUCGACCCUCAAGACAGCGAUGGAUUUCGACCCCGAAGGCAGCGAUGGAUUUCGACCCCGAAGGCAGCGAUGGAUUUCGACCCCGAAGGCGGCGAUGGAUUUUGAACCCGAAGGCGGCGAUGGAUUUCAACCCCAAAGGCGGCGGUGGAUUUUACCCCAAAGGCGGUGGUGGAUUUUAACCCCAAAGGCGGUGGUGGAUUUCGACUACGAAGGUGGCAAUGGAUUUCGACUCCAAAGGCAGCCAUGGAUUUCAACCUCAAUGGCAUAGAUGGAUUUCAACCACAAAGGCGGCGAUGGAUUUCAACCACAAAGACGGCAGUGGAUUUCAACCACAAAGGCGGCAGUGGAUUUCAACCACAAAGGCGGCGGUGGAUUUCGAUCUAACAGGCAACAAUGGAUUUCAACUCCAAAAGCGGCGAUGGAUGUCAACCCCAAAAACUACGAUGGAUUUCGACUCCAAAGAACAGCAGCGAUGGAUUUUAACUCCAUUGAAUCUUCAAACCCUAAGGCAGAGGUCAAUUGCAAAAGGCCGCGAAGGGUUUCAGUUCCAAAUUUCUUGGUCUAACUGAAACCCUAAAUACUAUUCAUGAUAAUUUUAAGAAUUUUCACAAUUGAUUUUAUUAAAAUGGCGCUUCGCUACACAGUAACUCUAUCAGUAACUGAUCAAGCUAACGUGAAAGUUUUAUAAUCAUUAUCAUGGAAAGUACUAUUUUUUUUUUCAUCAAAUAAAGGGUCAGAGUAUUCAUAAUUUUCAACUCCAAAAAAAGGAGUAACUCGUAAAAGCAGCAAAGGAUUAUUUUCCUCCAAAGGCAGCGAUGAAUUUCAACUCCAAAGGCGACGAUGGAUCCAACCUCAUAAAAUGGAUUUCAACCCAAAAGUCACCAAUUGAUUUCAACCCAUAUUUUCUGGUAUAAAGGCAGAGAUGAAUUUAAAACUCCAAAGGCAGAGAUGGCUUCUAACCCCGAGGACAGAUAUGGAUUCCAACUCCAAGGGCAGAGAUGGAUUCCAACUCCAAGGGCAGAGAUGGAUUCCAACCUCAAGGGCAGAGAUGGAUUUCAACUUGUCAGAGAUGGAUUUCAACUCCAUCGACAGAGAUGAAUUCAAAUCCAACGACACAGAUGGAUUCCAACCCCUAAAGCAGAGAUAGAUUUCAACUUCAAGGACAGAGAUCAGAGAUGAAUUUAAAGUACAAUGACAGAUAUAGAUUCCAACGAAAUGGAUUCCAACCAAGGCGGAAAAACAUUCUAUGCCAAAGACAGAUGGAUUCCAACCUCAAAGGGAGGUUCAAAAGGUGAUGAGUUUUGUUUGAUGAGAGUAGAGUCUCGUGGGGAUUAUUUAGAGUCAUGUAUUCUGUCAAUGCUAGCUGUUUCCAAAAGUGAUGAUGAAUUUGGAAUCAGUGGAAUUGAAAAUCAGAAUUAUAUCGGCAACAGCAACUGUGGGUUCAAAACUCCAAGGGCAGUGACGGAUUCAAAACUCCAAAGGCAGCAAUGCAUUUAAUACCCAAGGACAGAGUUCAAUUCCAUUUCAAAAGAGAAUGGGGAUAUCGGUUCCAUAUAUUCAGGGUACAAGGCAACAAAGACUUCGAACCCAAAAUGAAGCGCUAGAUUCAAAUCCAUGAGCAGGUUUUCAGCCUCUAAGGAUGGAUUUUCAACUGCAAAGGCGGCAAUGGAUAUCAACCCUAAUUACGCGGUGGACUUCAACCACAAUAGAGAUGCAUUUCAACCCCAAAGGCAGCGAUGGAUUUUUAAAUUUGAAGGCGGCGAUGGAUUCCAACUUUGAUGGCAGAGAAGGAUUCCAACCUCAAAGUGAGAGAUCGAUUUGAAAUCCAAAGGCAGCAAUGGAUCUCAGGUCUAGUUUUUACGGUAGAAGCCAACAUGUGAUUCAAAAUUCAAGGAAUUCAAUGGAUUAAAUCUCUGAAGGCAGUGGAUUUCAACCCCAAUUGGUUUUAACCCUGAAAGCUGCAAUAAAUUUCUGGACUUUAUUUUCUGGCACAAAGACAGAGAUGGAGUUGAACUCCAAAAGCAUUGAUGUAUUCAAAUCAAAAGGGUAGACAGAUUCGAGCCUCAAUGCCACCGAUGAAUUUGGGUAUUCUAGUCCAAGGAUGAUAGACCCUACCCCAAAGACAGUAUUGAAUUCCAAACCCAAAAGCAGAUAUGGAUUUUAAUCCCUAAGACAUGUAUGUAUUUAAACUUCAAAGGCAGAGAUGGAUUCUAAUCCCAACGACAGAGAUGGAUUCCAACUCCAAAGGCAGAGAUGGACUUGUACCCCAAAGAAGGCAUUUAAUUUCAAUCAUAGUGAAUUUCAAAUCCAAAUUUUCACUACCAAAGACAGAUGGAGUUUAACCGCAGAGGUUUCAAAUCCAAAAAGUGGAAUUCAAUACUUAAAGCCAACAGUGGAUUCAGAUAUCAAAGAAGAUGGAGCUUACCCUAAAGUUGGAGAUGGAUUUUUACUUAAGGCAGAGAUUGAUUCAAACCCAAAAGGCAGCAGUGGAUUUCAGGUGUUCGGGUUUUCAGACUCCUAAAGCAGUGAUGGAUUUUUAACCCCAAAGGCUGAAAUGGAUUUCAUACCGGUAGGUAGAGAGAUUCAGGCCCCAAAGUGGAUAUGGAUUUCAACUUCGAAGGCAGAUAUGGAUUUAGAUAGGCAUGGAUCCCAAUUACAAGGAAGAGAUGGAAAUGAAUCUCAAAGACAGCAAUAGAUCUCGGAUGCAGAUUGUCAGGUUCAAAAGCAUCAGUGGAUUCCAACCCCAAAGGUAACAAUAAAUUUCUGGUCCCUACUUUCUGGUCCAAAGGUUCAACAUCAAAGGCAUCGAUUCAUUCAAAUCAUAAAGGAAGACAGAUUAAAGCCAAUGAUGGAUUACGGUGUUCUAGUCCAAAGAAAAUGGACCUCACUACACAGGCAGUGAUGAAUUUCAUUCAGUCCAAAAGGUGGAGAUGGAUUUUGACCCCAAAGGCAGAAAUGGACUUCAACUCCAAUGACUUCAAUGACAAGAAGAUUCCAACUUCAAAGGAAGAUACAAUAGGUACAAUACGUUGUGUUUGGGAUUUGGUGUCUUGUGAAGAUCAUUUAGAGUGAUGUAUUCUGUCAAAGGUACCUUUUUCCAAAAGUGAUAAUAAAUUUGGAAUCAAUGGAUUUGGGAUUCAGAAUUAUAGUGGCACUAGCAACCAUGGGUUUUAAUAGAUCUUAACUCCAACUGCAGUGAUAAAAUUCACUUACACUUGAAGUUUAUAUUUACUUGGAUUGGAAUAUAAACAAAUGGUGUUAGCGAUAUAUUUCAGCCUCAUGGCCAUGGUUUUCUUCUCCAAAUUUCAAUUGCAAAUAUGCAUUUCAACCUCACUGGCAGGGAUGGAUUUCAACCCCGAAGGCAGUGAUGGAUUUCAACCCCAAGGACAGGAGUCAAUUUUAUUCCCAAAGACAAGAUGGAUUUCAAGUUCCAGGUUUCAGCUUAGCAGGUCCAAAGUCAAAGAUGGAUAUAUACUCCAGAAGUAGAGGGCUUCAGAUUCAAAGGCAGCAAUGUUUGAAACCAACUCCAAAGGCAGACAUUUCAAUCCCAAAGAAUGAAUUAUGGAUUCCAACUCC
RNAcentral lists this long non-coding RNA (14789 nucleotides) under Leptinotarsa decemlineata (Colorado potato beetle). RNAcentral's name for it is "uncharacterized LOC111505380, transcript variant X2". The record is from RNAcentral. Lineage: Eukaryota; Metazoa; Arthropoda; Insecta; Coleoptera; Chrysomelidae.